RNAcentral lists this ribosomal RNA (252 nucleotides) under uncultured bacterium. Its description in RNAcentral is "partial 16S ribosomal RNA". It matches the Rfam family "Bacterial small subunit ribosomal RNA", at positions 524 to 776 of the family's 1533-position model. The record is from RNAcentral.
UACGUAGGUGGCAAGCGUUGUCCGGAAUUAUUGGGCGUAAAGCGCGCGCAGGCGGCCUCUUAAGUCUGAUGUGAAAGCCCCCGGCUCAACCGGGGAGGGCCAUUGGAAACUGGGAGGCUUGAGUAUAGGAGAGAAGAGUGGAAUUCCACGUGUAGCGGUGAAAUGCGUAGAGAUGUGGAGGAACACCAGUGGCGAAGGCGACUCUUUGGCCUAUAACUGACGCGAGGCGCGAAAGCGUGGGGAGCAAACAGG